GUGCCAGCAGCCGCGGUAAUACGGAGGGUGCAAGCGUUAUCCGGAUUCACUGGGUUUAAAGGGUGCGUAGGCGGGCAGGUAAGUCAGUGGUGAAAUCUCCGGGCUUAACCCGGAAACUGCCGUUGAUACUAUCUGUCUUGAAUAUCGUGGAGAUGAGCGGAAUAUGUCAUGUAGCGGUGAAAUGCUUAGAUAUGACAUAGAACACCGAUUGCGAAGGCAGCUCGUUACACGGUUAUUGACGCUGAGGCACGAAAGCGUGGGGAUCAAACAGGAUUAGAAACCCCCGUAGUCC
RNAcentral lists this ribosomal RNA (292 nucleotides) under uncultured bacterium. RNAcentral's name for it is "partial 16S ribosomal RNA". It matches the Rfam family "Bacterial small subunit ribosomal RNA", at positions 505 to 796 of the family's 1533-position model. The record is from RNAcentral.